UUAUGGCUCAGGAUGAACGCUGGCGGCGUGCCUAACACAUGCAAGUCGAGCGUGAACCCUUAGAAUGAAACUCGGUCGAAUGAAGAGGGGGAAAGCGGCGGACGGGUGAGUAACGCGUAGGCAACCUGCCCCGUACAGAGGGAUAGCCUCGGGAAACCGGGAUUAAAACCUCAUAAUACCAUGGUAUCACAUGAUGCAAUGGUCAAAGAUUUAUCGGUAUGGGAUGGGCCUGCGUCUGAUUAGCUGGUUGGUGGGGUAACGGCCUACCAAGGCAACGAUCAGUAGCCGACCUGAGAGGGUAAUCGGCCACAUUGGAACUGAGACACGGUCCAAACUCCUACGGGAGGCAGCAGUGGGGAAUAUUGCACAAUGGGCGAAAGCCUGAUUGCAGCAACGCCGCGUGAGCGAAGAAGGCCUUUGGGUCGUAAAGCUCUGUCGGGAAGGAAGAUAAUGACGGUACUUCCCGAGGAAGCCCCGGCUAACUACGUGCCAGCAGCAGC
This 500-nucleotide ribosomal RNA is filed under the name uncultured bacterium. RNAcentral describes it as "bacterial SSU rRNA". It matches the Rfam family "Bacterial small subunit ribosomal RNA", at positions 17 to 518 of the family's 1533-position model. The record is from RNAcentral.